This 65-nucleotide transfer RNA is filed under the name Mengenilla moldrzyki. RNAcentral's name for it is "tRNA-Asn". Lineage: Eukaryota; Metazoa; Arthropoda; Insecta; Strepsiptera; Mengenillidae. The record is from RNAcentral.
UUAAUUGAAACCAAAAAGAGGUAUAUUAUUGUUAAUAAUAAAAUUAUAGAUUUCUAUCAAUUAUU